UACGGGGGGUGCAAGCGUUAUUCGGAAUUAUUGGGCGUAAAGGGUGCGUAGGCGGUUUUGUAAGUCAGAUGUGAAAUCCCGGGGCUUAACCCCGGAACUGCAUUUGAUACUGCAAGACUUGAGUAUGGGAGAGGAGAGCGGAAUUCCUGGUGUAGAGGUGAAAUUCGUAGAUAUCAGGAGGAACACCGGUGGCGAAGGCGGCUCUCUGGACCAAUACUGACGCUGAGGCACGAAGGCGUGGGGAGCAAACAGG
RNAcentral lists this ribosomal RNA (253 nucleotides) under uncultured bacterium. Its description in RNAcentral is "partial 16S ribosomal RNA". It matches the Rfam family "Bacterial small subunit ribosomal RNA", at positions 524 to 776 of the family's 1533-position model. The record is from RNAcentral.